GGGGGUUGGAAGUUAAACACGUGGGUAACCUGCCUGUAAGACUGGGAUAACUCCGGGAAACCGGGGCUAAUACCGGAUGCUUGUUUGAACCGCAUGGUUCAAACAUAAAAGGUGGCUUCGGCUACCACUUACAGAUGGACCCGCGGCGCAUUAGCUAGUUGGUGAGGUAAUGGCUCACCAAGGCGACGAUGCGUAGCCGACCUGAGAGGGUGAUCGGCCACACUGGGACUGAGACACGGCCCAGACUCCUACGGGAGGCAGCAGUAGGGAAUCUUCCGCAAUGGACGAAAGUCUGACGGAGCAACGCCGCGUGAGUGAUGAAGGUUUUCGGAUCGUAAAGCUCUGUUGUUAGGGAAGAACAAGUACCGUUCGAAUAGGGCGGUACCUUGACGGUACCUAACCAGAAAGCCACGGCUAACUACGUGCCAGCAGCCGCGGUAAUACGUAGGUGGCAAGCGUUGUCCGGAAUUAUUGGGCGUAAAGGGCUCGCAGGCGGUUUCUUAAGUCUGAUGUGAAAGCCCCCGGCUCAACCGGGGAGGGUCAUUGGAAACUGGGGAACUUGAGUGCAGAAGAGGAGAGUGGAAUUCC
Molecule: ribosomal RNA, 588 nt
Filed under: Bacillus subtilis
Lineage: Bacteria; Bacillati; Bacillota; Bacilli; Caryophanales; Bacillaceae
Description: bacterial SSU rRNA
Rfam family: Bacterial small subunit ribosomal RNA
Source: RNAcentral